RNAcentral lists this transfer-messenger RNA (353 nucleotides) under Desulfobacteraceae bacterium 4572_88. It matches the Rfam family "transfer-messenger RNA". From Rfam's summary of the family: Bacterial tmRNA, also known as 10Sa RNA or SsrA, is named for its dual tRNA and mRNA-like properties. Its role is to liberate the mRNA from a stalled ribosome. The record is from RNAcentral. Lineage: Bacteria; Pseudomonadati; Thermodesulfobacteriota; Desulfobacteria; Desulfobacterales; Desulfobacteraceae.
GGGGGCGAAACGGCUUCGACGGGGAUAAAGAAGCUUUGGUUGCAUACCGAGUUCCCGCCUACUCGUAAAACGGUGUGGACUAAACGUAAUCGCAGACGAUUAUGAAUAUGCUCUAGCCGCUUAAAAGGCUAGCGUCCUGCCGGCUUUUUCCUGCGGACCCGGCAAGGGCGUCGACUUGCGGGAUAGCCAUUUCUGACAUCCUGUGUCAGAAUCGGUGAAACUUUUACAGGAUAGUCUUUCAAGUAUCGUGCCUGGAGGAGACUUGAAAGGCGAAUGCUAAAAUCCGGGCUAAGUAUGUAGAUGCCUGAGUGGAAUAUUUUCGGACGCGGGUUCGACUCCCGCCGCCUCCACCA